AUUGAACGCUGGCGGAAUGCUUUACACAUGCAAGUCGAACGGCAGCACGGACUUCGGUCUGGUGGCGAGUGGCGAACGGGUGAGUAAUGUAUCGGAACGUGCCCAGUCGUGGGGGAUAACGUAGUGAAAAUUACGCUAAUACCGCAUACGAUCUAUGGAUGAAAGCGGGGGAUCGCAAGACAUCGCGCGAUUGGAGCGGCCGAUAUCAGAUUAGGUAGUUGGUGGGGUAAAGGACCACCAAGCCAACGAACUGUAGCUGGUCGAAGAGGACGACCAGCCACACUGGAACUGAGACACGGUCCAGACUCCGACGGGAGGCAGCAGUGGGGAAUUUUGGACAAUGGGCGAAAGACUGAUCCAGACAUUCCGCGUGCAGGAUGAAGGCCCUCGGGUUGUAAACUGCUUUUGUACAGAACGAAAAGGUUUCUACUAAUACUAGGAGCUCAUGACGGUACUGUAAGAAUAAGCACCGGCUAACUACGUGCCAGCAGCCGCCGUAA
RNAcentral lists this ribosomal RNA (500 nucleotides) under uncultured bacterium. RNAcentral describes it as "partial 16S ribosomal RNA". It matches the Rfam family "Bacterial small subunit ribosomal RNA", at positions 30 to 523 of the family's 1533-position model. The record is from RNAcentral.